AACGGAGAGGGCAAGUGUUACUCAUAAUGACUGGGUGUAAAGGGUACGUAGGUGGUUAAGUAAGCGAUGAGUGAAAUAAAAGAGUAAUUGCUUUGGGCGCUCGUUGAACUACUUGGCUAGAGUGUUUUUGAGGGUACUGGUAUGUUUGAUGGAGAGGUGAUAUUCUGCGAUAUCAAAAGGACAAUCGAAGGCGAAGGCAAUUACCUAGGGGACACUGACACUGAGGUACUGAAGCGUGGGGAGCGAAUCGG
RNAcentral lists this ribosomal RNA (251 nucleotides) under uncultured prokaryote. RNAcentral describes it as "partial 16S ribosomal RNA". It matches the Rfam family "Bacterial small subunit ribosomal RNA", at positions 524 to 776 of the family's 1533-position model. The record is from RNAcentral.